Molecule: ribosomal RNA, 700 nt
Filed under: uncultured beta proteobacterium
Lineage: Bacteria; Pseudomonadati; Pseudomonadota; Betaproteobacteria
Description: bacterial SSU rRNA
Rfam family: Bacterial small subunit ribosomal RNA
Source: RNAcentral
CUUGCACCUGGUGGCGAGUGGCGAACGGGUGAGUAAUAUAUCGGAACGUACCUUAUCGUGGGGGACAACGCAGCGAAAGCUGCGCUAAUACCGCAUACGCCCUGAGGGGGAAAGCGGGGGACCGUAAGGCCUCGCGCGAUUAGAGCGGCCGAUAUCUGAUUAGCUUGUUGGUGGGGUAAAAGCCCACCAAGGCGACGAUCAGUAGCUGGUCUGAGAGGACGAUCAGCCACGCUGGGACUGAGACACGGCCCAGACUCCUACGGGAGGCAGCAGUGGGGAAUUUUGGACAAUGGGGGCAACCCUGAUCCAGCAAUGCCGCGUGAGUGAGGAAGGCCUUCGGGUUGUAAAGCUCUUUUGUCAGGGAAGAAACAGCAGCUCUAACACAGUCUGCGAAUGACGGUACCUGAAGAAUAAGCACCGGCUAACUACGUGCCAGCAGCCGCGGUAAUACGUAGGGUGCAAGCGUUAAUCGGAAUUACUGGGCGUAAAGCGUGCGCAGGCGGUUAUACAAGACAGGCGUGAAAUCCCCGGGCUUAACCUGGGAAUGGCGUCUGUGACUGUAUGACUAGAGUGUGUCAGAGGGGGGUAGAAUUCCACGUGUAGCAGUGAAAUGCGUAGAUAUGUGGAGGAAUACCAAUGGCGAAGGCAGCCCCCUGGGAUAACACUGACGCUCAUGCACGAAAGCGUGGGGAGCAAACAG